AUACUUACCUGGCAAGAGAGACACCGUGAUCAAGAAGGCGGUUCACCCAGGGCGACGCUCAGCCAUUGCACUCCGGCUGUGCUGACCCCUGUGAAUUUCCCAAAUGUGGAAAUCUCGAUUGCAUAAUUUCUGGUAGUGGGGGACUGCGUUCGCGCUCUCCCCUG
RNAcentral lists this small nuclear RNA (164 nucleotides) under Salmo salar (Atlantic salmon). Its description in RNAcentral is "U1 spliceosomal RNA". It matches the Rfam family "U1 spliceosomal RNA". Rfam says of the family: U1 is a small nuclear RNA (snRNA) component of the spliceosome (involved in pre-mRNA splicing). Its 5' end forms complementary base pairs with the 5' splice junction, thus defining the 5' donor site of an intron. The record is from Rfam by way of RNAcentral. Lineage: Eukaryota; Metazoa; Chordata; Actinopteri; Salmoniformes; Salmonidae.